RNAcentral lists this ribosomal RNA (461 nucleotides) under uncultured bacterium. RNAcentral describes it as "bacterial SSU rRNA". It matches the Rfam family "Bacterial small subunit ribosomal RNA", at positions 8 to 496 of the family's 1533-position model. The record is from RNAcentral.
AGAGUUUGAUCAUGGCUCAGGAUGAACGCUGGCGGCGUGCCUAACACAUGCAAGUCGAGCGAUUUACUUCGGUAAAGAGCGGCGGACGGGUGAGUAACGCGUGGGUAACCUGCCCUGUACACACGGAUAACAUACCGAAAGGUAUGCUAAUACGAGAUAAUAUGCUUUUAUCGCAUGGUAGAAGUAUCAAAGCUUUUGCGGUACAGGAUGGACCCGCGUCUGAUUAGCUAGUUGGUAAGGUAACGGCUUACCAAGGCGACGAUCAGUAGCCGACCUGAGAGGGUGAUCGGCCGCAUUGGAACUGAGACACGGUCCAAACUCCUACGGGAGGCAGCAGUGGGGAAUAUUGCACAAUGGGCGAAAGCCUGAUGCAGCAACGCCGCGUGAGCGAUGAAGGCCUUCGGGUCGUAAAGCUCUGUCCUCAAGGAAGAUAAUGACGGUACUUGAGGAGGAAGCCCCGG